RNAcentral lists this ribosomal RNA (254 nucleotides) under uncultured bacterium. RNAcentral's name for it is "partial 16S ribosomal RNA". It matches the Rfam family "Bacterial small subunit ribosomal RNA", at positions 524 to 776 of the family's 1533-position model. The record is from RNAcentral.
UACGUAGGGCGCAAGCGUUGUCCGGAAUUAUUGGGCGUAAAGAGCUCGUAGGCGGCUUGUCACGUCGGAUGUGAAAGCCCGGGGCUUAACCCCGGGUCUGCAUUCGAUACGGGCAGGCUAGAGUUCGGUAGGGGAGAUCGGAAUUCCUGGUGUAGCGGUGAAAUGACGCAGAUAUCAGGAGGAACACCGGUGGCGAAGGCGGAUCUCUGGGCCGAUACUGACGCUGAGGAGCGAAAGCGUGGGGAGCGAACAGG